GUAGUUUUCCCUUGUGCCAUUCGAGAGAAAGAGAAGGAAGAAUCCAAAAGCUAUCCCAUCUGUGUGUUCUAUUUGCACAUUAGAAGGGGUUGCUCUUGAUUAUCCAAUUCUCACAAAAAAGGUUUAUUGGUAAUCCUUUCUCUGCAAAUUCUUUGUGAUCUAACCAAACUUUUGGGUGUUUAAGAAGCUGCAUGCAUAUGGGAGCAGUGGUUGUGUUGGAUGCUAUAGAGAACCCACACUAAAUAAGGAAUUAGUUGUGGCGUCGAAAGUUUCGAUGAAACAAGAUACGGCAGUGAAGAAACCAAGCACAUCGGAGGAUUUCUGGACGACCAGCACGCAUGAUAUGGACAACAACGCGGUUCAAUCACAGGGAAGCAUCUCAUCAACUAGUCAAACGAACCAACCUUCUGCUCCUCAUGGUGGUUCUUUCAAAACCGGCUCCCACACUGAAUUCGUAAAUAAUGGCCUUAUUCUCUGGAAUCAGAAUCGUCAACGUUGGGUUGGAAAUAAAAAGCCGGAGACCCAAAUACAACAAUUGCGAGAACCUAAAUUGAGUUGGAAUGCAACAUAUGAAAGUUUACUUGGGAGCAACAAGCCUUUCCGGCAGCCUAUCCCUCUUUCCGAAAUGGUAGAUUUUCUUGUGGACAUUUGGGAACAAGAGGGUCUAUAUGACUAAGACAUUGAAAGCUUGAAGAUUAUUUAAGUGCUGUUUGGUUAGAUUUCUGAAAUAAUUCUAGUUCUUGCUUUCUGUAAGAAGAGGAGGAUUGUACAUACUCUGCAGUUUUUAUAUUCAAUUUGUCACAUUAGAGGAAAAUUUCUCUUAGCAGGCUAUGAAAUAAUUGUAUUAUACUUUAUUUAAUUGAUUGCAACCUAAAGAGGCAAGUUUUAGAAGAAAAAAACUCAUCCCUUUGUUGAAAUUAUGGCUUCAACUUUGACUUGUUUUGCCUUUCCUUUAGACUAAAAUUGUGUAGGAUAAAU
RNAcentral lists this long non-coding RNA (978 nucleotides) under Lupinus mutabilis. RNAcentral's name for it is "partial ncRNA". The record is from RNAcentral. Lineage: Eukaryota; Viridiplantae; Streptophyta; Magnoliopsida; Fabales; Fabaceae.